This 253-nucleotide ribosomal RNA is filed under the name uncultured bacterium. RNAcentral describes it as "partial 16S ribosomal RNA". It matches the Rfam family "Bacterial small subunit ribosomal RNA", at positions 524 to 776 of the family's 1533-position model. The record is from RNAcentral.
UACGUAGGGGGCAAGCGUUGUCCGGAAUCAUUGGGCGUAAAGAGCGUGUAGGCGGCCACUUAAGUCCUGCGUGAAAUCUUGCGGCUCAACCGCAAGCGGUCGUGGGAAACUGGGUGGCUAGAGUGCGGGAGAGGAGAGUGGAAUUCCUGGUGUAGCGGUGGAAUGCGCAGAUAUCAGGAAGAACACCCGUGGCGAAGGCGGCUCUCUGGAACGCAACUGACGCUGAGACGCGAAAGCGUGGGGAGCAAACAGG